GUCUGGAAGGAAGUGGCUGGGAAGGGCAUGGUGGAGGCUGCUGACCCGCCAAUGUCUCCACAACUGAACGUCCCCCUGCCAGGCCGCAGAGUGCCCACUGCCUCUCCAGUGCCAGCCCAGCAAGAGGGAAAGCAGAGAGGGGGAAAAAAUAACGGGUGCCUCAUGGUGGGUUUUCACAAUCUUGAGGCUGCAGUCGCCCCUUAGGCCCCACACCCUGCACCCAGCAGGGUCUCAACCAGUGACUCCCCAGUCAGCAACCGGCCAGCAUGCAUUGCGCAGACGUGGCCUCUGCUCCACUCAGGGCCCAUUUCAGCCACCUCGAAGCUGAAGCUGCAGUUCACCGCCACCUCCAAGGACACAGCCCACCUUUUCCAGGCUGCGCCGGGCCCUCCGCAGACCAGACCUCCUUCAGAGGCGCGGGCCCACGUGCAUGGAAAACGCCUCCUACUGACACGGAACACCGAGAUUACACUCCGGGCCCGCCUGGACACCCGGGAUUAUCUCUGCGUUUUACACGCUUCAAGGAACCACGUUUGCAGGCGCUCACCAUGUGAGGCGACAGGCACAGGCCUGGACAGGACGGAGGGCAUCUUCGGGAGGCUUUCCUCCCCUCUCACUCCACUUUUCCCUCAGGACACCUGUGCUGCUGUUGCUGUAAAUCCUAAUUCCCCAGAAAUAUAUGAAACCCUGUAACAUGAUUGUUUUAUGCGGUUACGAUUCAUUAGGUUUGUACACAAUAUACCCUUUCUGUUGCUUUUGUUGGGGCUCAGAAAAUCACACCCGGAGUGAAGGCCUUGGAAGCCAGGCCUUCUCCUGCCCCCUGUCUCUGGCCCCUUAUUCUCAGAGGCAGGUCGUAGAAACCUGAACCCCUUUUCCCCAAAGCCAGCCAUAAACCUAAAAGUAUGACUCUAAUAACUUUCCUGUCUUUCUGUGUAAAAACUGGCCAUAAAGGAAUUCUCUGGU
Long non-coding RNA from Cercocebus atys (sooty mangabey), 963 nucleotides. RefSeq lists it as uncharacterized. The record is from RefSeq and is a predicted model, not a curated record. NCBI's taxonomy places the organism in Eukaryota, Metazoa, Chordata, Mammalia, Primates, Cercopithecidae. The transcript is spliced from 3 exons.